This 69-nucleotide transfer RNA is filed under the name Occidozyga lima. RNAcentral's name for it is "tRNA-Val". It matches the Rfam family "tRNA". Rfam says of the family: Transfer RNA (tRNA) molecules are approximately 80 nucleotides in length. Lineage: Eukaryota; Metazoa; Chordata; Amphibia; Anura; Dicroglossidae. The record is from RNAcentral.
CAAAAUGUAGCUUAAGAAAAAGCUCCUCGCUUACACCGAGAAGAUGCCUCUUAAAAAAGGCCAUUUUGA